Molecule: long non-coding RNA, 627 nt
Organism: Dreissena polymorpha
Lineage: Eukaryota; Metazoa; Mollusca; Bivalvia; Myida; Dreissenidae
Exons: 4
Source: RefSeq, a predicted model, not a curated record
AGGGAUACGUGGUGCAGGAUUUUGAUUUUGAUCCUCUACUUACGUGCAGCGACAGCCGAGGAGAGUUCUCCGUACUAAAAUAUGAUGGUACCUUGCCGCAAUGCGCAGAGGAAUCGGAGGGAUCGUUCUUUGACUACAAGCUACAGGAGUACUAUUAUUUCGUUGGCGACUGUGUUGCGGCGAAGGAACAGAUCCGACAGAAUUUCAUCUCCGCUUUAAAAACAAGCCUGGGUGACGUAAGCUCGAAUCUCAACUGUUCAUCUGAUCUUGUGGAGGUACACUGUCCAUUUCUGCUGUCUUGACGCUGUCAGGAAAAGGUCCAAAUAAAUUGUCACCGUCGAAAGCCAUUACAAUGCAAGAGCAGAUACAUCAGGCACGCGCCAAGAGCAACGUCAGUCUGGAAAUUGGUAACGAAAUGGCACUCCAGUUAACGUCCAUCCAAGUUUCCAAUCCCGAAGUCACGUGCACAUUUUGCUCAUAUAUGGAUAAAUUCACUCUCAGUUGUGAUAAAUGACAGACACUCGCAAUCUGAGAGGUAGGCAAACAACCAAGGCCGAAAGACCAGGCAGAGAUGAUAAUCAAUGCUUAUCAACCCGUCCAAGCCAGCAGAAGAAGUACAUUUACAAA